Nannospalax galili (Upper Galilee mountains blind mole rat) is the source of this 1024-nucleotide long non-coding RNA. RefSeq lists it as uncharacterized. The transcript has 3 exons. Lineage: Eukaryota; Metazoa; Chordata; Mammalia; Rodentia; Spalacidae. The record is from RefSeq and is a predicted model, not a curated record.
GUUAGGAGCUCAAAACUGCUAGUCUCCAGCUUCCUCUUCUGGGGACUCCCAAACUGGAUUUAGGUCUAGAUGAGGAGUCUGCCAAGCCUGUGGUUUCCUGGUUAGAGGUUCCCAAUGGAGUCAGCAGCCUUCCUGUCACCCACAGUCGACUUGGCCACAUAUCCACUGGCCCAAGAGUCUUCUCAAAAGCAUCAAGAUUUCAGAUCCAUUGAUGACACUGGCACUAAACCUCAAUGGCUGCAGAAUGAUGAAUCUCCAGCUCCAUCACUCCCUGACUUACCGCUGGGCAUUGCAUUAUGGAUGGCGGCUCCUUCCCACCCACACAGUUCUCCAUUUAGUCAUCUGUCUGAGGCUUGCCUAAUAUCAAUAAGAACGUAUGAUUUUUGUUUUACUCAAUAGGUCAUAGUCUGUCGCUGUCAUAUGCUAUUCUGAGAUGCAAAUAGUCCCCAAUCUGAUCAAUGAGAGCCCUUGCAUGCUGACUGUAUCCUUUUUAUAUGACCACAUUAUUGUUUUCGUAUUUCUGUGUUUUCUGUUAUAAAAUAUUUCAGGUUUUAUUGUGGGAGGAUGGUACCUUACCUAGCCCAGCCCUAGAAUUAGAAACUUUUCUAAAGAAUCCUGGUUCCUCUUCCUGGGGGUGGAUCUGGGUUCUAGAUGAGCUCAUUGCUGUGUGGUAGCACUGCAUCCAGUCCCUCUUAGUGGACAGAGCUGGGAUUGCAUUUUGAAGCUUUCAGUCCAACCUGAUCCCAUAGGCACCUGCCUUGUUUUGGCCUGUUUCCCCAUGUUCACCUCCCACUCACUCCCCAAGGAACACUAAUGGUUUAUUACUACAGACAAUGCCAAAGGGAAUUUAAGUUUACUUGCACUAUUUUCCUCCCUGGAUUUAAAAGCAGUGUUAAGCAUUAUAUUCAAAUUUUAAUAUUGUACAUUACUGUUAUAUGAAAGGUUAAUUCAAAGGUUAUGUUUUCUUUUUCCUGCUUCGUGGUAAAUUUUAUUAGUCAACUAAAAUGGAGUUGCGUCUCCUUCA